RNAcentral lists this transfer RNA (47 nucleotides) under Rhodospirillaceae bacterium. RNAcentral describes it as "tRNA-Val". It matches the Rfam family "tRNA", at positions 1 to 46 of the family's 71-position model. Rfam says of the family: Transfer RNA (tRNA) molecules are approximately 80 nucleotides in length. Their secondary structure includes four short double-helical elements and three loops (D, anti-codon, and T loops). Lineage: Bacteria; Pseudomonadati; Pseudomonadota; Alphaproteobacteria; Rhodospirillales; Rhodospirillaceae. The record is from RNAcentral.
GGGCGCGUAGCUCAGCGGGAGAGCACUGCCUUCACACGGCAGGGGUC